Molecule: long non-coding RNA, 5943 nt
Organism: Meriones unguiculatus (Mongolian gerbil)
Lineage: Eukaryota; Metazoa; Chordata; Mammalia; Rodentia; Muridae
Exons: 3
Source: RefSeq, a predicted model, not a curated record
GCAUCCCGGGACCCAGGGUCCCCGACACCUGGCCUCCGCCGAGGGGCGCCGCGGCCGGGGCGCGCGCGGGUAGGAGGGGGCGCGGCGGGGCUGGGGGCACGCGGGAAGGCCGCCCGGGGGCCCGGGGCACGCCCGGCCGCUUCCCCGGGUCCGUGCCCAGCCCUCCUCGGCGGCAGAGGGCCAGGGCUCCGCCGCUCCCGGCCGCGUAGCAGGUGCCCAGCCCGCACCCCACACCUCUCUCCCGGGAGGACACCAGCAGGACAGCGAGGGCACAGGCUCCGGGCUCCACCCGCUGCGCCCCAGACCCGGGAACCCACGGCGCUGUCCCUUCCCCAGAGCCGAGGGGCGCAUCCCGGACUGGCCCCCUGCCUCGCCUCUCGGUUGCUGCUGCUUAUACCCUCUGGGCAACAGGCAACCUGAGCUCCCAGACUAGCCCACCGCCUAGCCAGCAGCGGCCUUGUGCCCAGCUUCAGGCAAGGUCAGGAGGCCUUCUGUACCAGCCGCUACUCGGAUGCCUUCAGCUUGACCUGUCCAGGCGCCAGAAGCCACAGCCCGGAAUGAACGCCCGGGCCAUCGAGGAGAAGACUGACUAGAGUUCUCCAGAGAGCUUCAAACUCCUGCCACACACUGAGUAAGCAUCCUCUUAAGACAGAAAAGAUGCCCAACAGAAAAGAGCAAGUGUUACACACACAUUUUGAUCUUACACUUAUAAAUCGAAAUGCUACUUUCAGUUUCUCAGACACUCCACAAGUUACACAAAAUGUCAGAAGCACUGAAAUGCCAGUGUAUAAAUUUACACUUGAAAUUAAAUUCAGAGUUACACGGAACAAGGUUGUAUGAAGAGAGAGAUUGGGUUCAUGAGCUCUAUACAGACUUAUAUUCUGAGGUGGUUUAUGAGACUUUGGCCCAGAUUGCGCGGCCUGUAACACAUUCUCGGCAGCCCCUGUAACCAUUGGCUCGUCAGAAAGAAGUAUCUCAAAGUCAACGAUAAUUUUAAAUGUCUCCUGGUCGUGGUAUUGUUCAUACAUCAAUCAUCGGGUCCAUCUUGUGCCACAGAGGUGACGACUCAACACGAAGACAUACUGAGAGACUCACGGGCGCGCUCGUGAUGGAGGCGGGGGGAGCUCCAUCUGUAAACGAGGUCAGAGCUUGUGAAUAACACGGUGAGCAGAGACACAGCUGCAGCGUGAAGAGAACUUCCCAGAAGCUUCUACCUUCAGCACAGAAAAGAACCUCAGGAGGGGUCAGGAGGGAACCACAGCUUGAGUUUAUUAAGAGAUUUUAGCAUAGACUUAAGCACAGGCUCUAAUGAAACAAGAGGCAGACGGUCUGAGGAGAUGGCUCAGAGGUUAAGAGCACUGGCUGCUCUUCCAGAGGUCCUGAGUUCAAUUCCCAGCAACCACAUGGUGGCUCACUAUAGUGAGAUCUGGUGCCCUCUUCUGUCCUACAGGUGUACAUGCAGACAGAACAUUGUGUACAUAUAAAUAAAAAGAAUACACACACACACACACACACACACGAGGGCAGCACCUAAGUGUCUUAUCAGAGGCCAUGUAUGUGACCUCUGAAGUUAGUCUUUAAAGGAUCUUAGGAAUCUCUUCCCUUCCUUCUUCCCUCUCUGUACAUGGGCCCGUAGGGUGGCUCCUGAGGUAGCUCAGGUAGCAUUACAGCUAGGGCCACAUACUUUCUGUAACUACAAAGGAAGUUUAUAGUUUUGUUCAUGAAAUUCCCAGAAAAGUGCAGAUUUAUGGAUUUGAAAGGAGUUAAGAGAAAACUUCAAGGUCCUGUGUGUGAAAGCCUUAGGUGUGGUUCAUUGCUAUUUUAACAUUCUUGUCUGAAACUAUUUCUUCGUAAAGGAAAUAUCGCCUCUUUGUCAGCCACCUUCGCAGCAAAUGCUGCUAACCGUGCUGAGCUGUUUCCCCUCAGCUGCUGAGCACCCGAGCCUACCUAGUCUCCUGAAUGUCCAGUUUCCCUGUUCUCGUUUAUUGUUCUCAUUUUUAAAACUUAGCUUUUGAUAGCGUCCGCAUUUGUUAACUUGCUUUAAGUGUCUUCAGACGUUCAGAGUCAGCUAGUGUGGCAACCCUCGGCUUGACUGUGCUCCACUGUCAGACAGAGCAUGGUUGGCUGUGGUUGGUGCUGCAGUUCUCUAACUCUGAGUUGAACAGUGAAUGUUGGAAGGCUACUAUAUCUGUGAAGAAGGAACUUUCUGGCUUGGCCCUUGGCCCCCGGGGAGGAUCUAGCCGGUUCUGCCUGAUGUCCUCUGCUGGUGGUUCAAUGCUGGGCCAUCUAGCAUGGAUUAAGGUGAGGCACUGGAUCACAGAGUCUGAGUUCUGACCUCCAGGGAGGCUAGGAACCAGUGUGCGGGGGGGACCCGGGCUGUCAGGAUUGUUGGGGCUCGAGGCUUUCCAGCUUCCUUUCUGUCAAAAAGCGGGGUGAGGGAGGGAGGACAUUCCAUGUCCAUCUCUAAAGGCAGCUAUGGCUAACAGGCCAGGAAGGGAGCUAUUCCAAAGGCCAAGGCUGUGUCACAGGGCCCUCACCACACAGAGUCCUCAGCACACAGGGACCUCACCACACAGGGCCCUCACCGUACAGGGCCCUCAGCACACAGAGACCUCAGCACACAGAGACCUCAGCACACAGAGACCUCACCACAUAGUCCCUGCCUGCCUCGUGUUUCCUCCCCACCUUCCAGACCCUCAUCCUCCUCUUUCUCUGCUUCAAGGUGGUAUAUGAGCAGGAAGCAGCUCAGCCAUGAGGGCCUGGACUUGAGUCCCAGCGCCCACGUGCUGGUUCACAAACAUCUGUAACUCCACUUCCAGGGGAUCAAACACCCCCUCUGGCCUCCAUGGGCACCAGGUACAUACAUGGUGCACAGACAUACGUGCGGGCAAAACCCAUACAUAUUAAGUAAAAUAAUAAGGAUAACUUUAAAAUAAAGCUGCAUAUAUGCCUUAAGUUUAAGGGCCGUCUGUGGAGCGGUUCUUUGGGAGUGGCCGUGCCUGCGCGUGCGAUAAGAUCUGCUAUUUCUCGUGUUGUCUUUCUGCGGUGCCCCGGCAGCGAACCGGAGGGCAGAGGAAGAAGGUCUCCUCUCGGGUGUUAGCAGAAGUCUGGGGUGCUGAAGACUGAAGUCAGCCACACGCCGAGCCCAAGCGACGUCCCAGCUGGAAAUGCCCCCUGCACACUGUCACACACGGUGGCGGGUACCAAGAACAGCAAGCUCUGUGGACACUCAGGAAGCCACGCCCAUCUCCUCCGGGCGCUCAGCGGGCUUCUCCCAUUGGCUGACCCUCAUCUUUUCCUGUGCGCUCCAGGGCUGGGGCAUAGGCUUUCAGUGAAUUCUGUGAGCAGUUCUAGCGAACAGCCAGAUGGGGCAUGAGUUUAGAAACUCUCUAAAUUUGAAUUAUUUUCAGGAGGAAGAAUACGCUCGUGGCUCUCCUUAGUACUGUUUUCUACUUCUAAUUUUUUUCUAUACUAUAAUGGUGGGGGCGGUGCUUGUACAUGUGUUGGGGGGUUGUGGGAGGGGUACUAUGUGUACAUACGCAUGUGAUGGUCACAGGAGGCCUUUCGUAGGCAUUCCUGAGGUUUGACACACUUUGUCAUUCCUGACUGUCUCACUGGCCUAGGACUCACCAAUUUGGCCAGCCGGGGCACUGCACCCCUGUACCCACCUGUCCGCCUCUCCCAUCCUCGGACUUCAGAUGUGUGUCACUAUGCAUGUUCUAAAGGACCCAAUUGAGGUGCUCAAGGUCACAGGCAUUGACUCUGCCAACUGAGCGAUCUCUGAACUUUUGUGAGUGCCUUUUAACAAAGGGUUUCUAAUGACCCCACAAGAGCAAAACCAGCAGCAGACACCCACAGACCCCUUCUCUUUCCCCACCGAGAGUCUCUAGGAAGAGUUUUUAAAAUAAACAAAGCUGAAACUUCAAUAAAUGCUCCCUUCCAACCUGGAGUGGCUAUGUGAGGCGAAGCCAAGCGAGCCUGAGUCGGUAGAGGACGCAGCUUAAUCCCGGAGCCUGCCGGGAAGGAGCGAACACCCUUCGAGAGCUGAGAGUUGGGUCGGUCUGCAUAAAACAUUCAUCGCACUCAUCAAUAUUAAGUGUGUUUUGUCCCACUUUGCUCAGUCGGACUUUGUUUGACUGUAUUCAUUUAAUGCUACCUCACCUUACAUUUUAUUAAAUUACAGAAAUGAUGUAGUUAGGAAUGACCCCCUCAGAGGGUCCCAGGGCCCACUCUGCUCACCGGGGCCCUUCAGCAGCUUCAGCGAAAUCAUUGUGGAGUCUGAAGUAAAUUAGGACGAGGGGGCCCUUGUUUCCCAGUUACGGAGGUCACCGCUGUGACAGAUAGCUGAGCAAAGAUCUCUGCCAGAUGUGCAAAGGGAGAAUAACUCUAGGGCAGUGGAUUCUCUUCCUUUGAGACAAGAUCUCAUGACACUAAGGCUGGCCUCGGGGCCAAUAUGUGACUAAGAUGACCUCGGAUGAGUGACCUCAUGCCGCAGCCUCCUAACAGCUGGGGUUACAGGUGUGCACCACCAUGCUGGUUGAACGUGGGUGUCUGCGCCUGUCAGGCAAGUAUUUCAGCAGUAAGCCUCGCCUGGGUCUCCGUCACCGCUCAGCAGUCAGCGUGUCUGAGCUCUGAGCUCAAAUCCCCCUUCCCAGUCUGCUGAUGGUGGAGGGGCUCGUAGAAAGAAGAGGAGAGAUGCUGCAUGCUGGGUGAACGGUGAGAGGGGGAUUUUACCCCAUGAAGCCUUCCACCCAGCAGCCGGGCUGCUGCCGACUGCAGGCCAGGCCUGGAGGCUGCUGCCCACAAGCAAGCCAAACAGUCAGAGCCUGGAAUGGCCAAGCCAUGGCCAGUUUCCACGUGAGCCUUCACCCGCCAGUGGCUGCCUCCCAGCACUGAGCCCGCAGAGCGUUAGGAUCACAGUAGGUGUGCAAGGCCGGGCCCGAGACCAAGGGAGCGCUUGGCCUUGGCACGGGCAGAAUUAGCGAGCUCGGGGAACAGAGGACCCAUUGAGGUUCCCACCUAAGUCAGCGUCUGGCUUUCUGUGCCUUCCCUGAAGGAGCCCGUCAGGAGUUUAUCGCUGCUAGAAGUGGUGGUCACAUCUGGAGACAGACAGUCCCCUGGGAAUAACUGUCGGCCAGCCUUCCUCACUGAGCUGCUCAUCUUUGUGGACUGUUUUCCCACAUGUGAACGAGUGGAAAGAGAGAGAAGUGACCUUUCAGACCCGCUGUAGCUUAUGAGAGCUUCGAAUGUCUCAGAUUCGUUGUUCAGCACGCUUCUCUUUUUCUUUGCUUCUUUCUAUGGUAGUUUUAAAUUAUUUCGGUCUUUACCACUCGGGAUGAGAGCAGAAUACUGUGUGCGUUCUGAGUCCGGCCUCGGGGUCAGUCCCAUGGACUCUAUUCUUCCCUUUCCUGUUUUUCUAUGAUUUUGUUUCCUGGUUCUGCUGUGAGGGAGUCAGGGAAGGACUUAGCCAACCGAAACACUCGUGUCAAGCUGUGGGCACUGCCCUGCCCUCAGGAAGCAGAUAACCUGGUCCCGCAGAUGCACUGCACAUAGGAAAACACUUAGAGGUUAUUUUUUCUGCUUAUGUUCUGCCCAGGAUUCAUGUCACAGCUAGAAAAUGGUUGCAUCCGAGUAAACUGACGUGCUCUCACACCCUACUGUCUGACUGCCACCUACUCCGUGCCUUUAAGCUGCGCAUGCUACCUGGCCCAGUGCAAUAAAAGUAUUUCUGAUAAAUUUUUAAAAGGGACUAAGAAGAGUCUAAUUUGGUAUUUUAAAGGCAAUUUCCAUAAUAAGUUCUAGUGUUCUACAGUUAAAUUGCCAUAUUAAGAUAUUUUUAUAAACACUCUACCUAGAAGAUGAGAAAACCCGUAUACCAUUAAGAACUAUUUUUAAAGACAUCUCUGCACAAUAAAUGCUCCUGUAGCUGACUCUUUUUGUCUU